RNAcentral lists this long non-coding RNA (3342 nucleotides) under Phoenix dactylifera (date palm). Its description in RNAcentral is "long non-coding RNA (PDAC_LNC012447)". Lineage: Eukaryota; Viridiplantae; Streptophyta; Magnoliopsida; Arecales; Arecaceae. The record is from RNAcentral.
AUGCUCUCAUUUCAACUGGCAGCGCAGUUCGGGUCAUGAGCGACCGUGUAUACAAUGAGAGCAAGAGGGGGCGGUCACCCCGUUCUCCUCCCGUGCCAGUCGGCAAUCGCCAAAUCCAUCCGUCGGAGGCUCCACCUCCGCCUGGCUUGUUCGAGCGUUCGGCCGAGGUAGCUUCUUCGAGCCCUCCACCUCCUCCAUCUUCGUUUUCGCCAAUUUCUUCGGUAUCGCCUCCGGCCAAAGCUCACGUCAACUUGCAGCCACCACUUCCUCCAUCAAGCAUGCCGUAUCAGCAACCUCCCGCCCCCUGAAAUUUUUUAUCGAUGAAUCUAAGUGCAUGCUGUAUAAAUAGAUUGCUUCAGGUCCUAUAUAUCUACGAUUAAUUCUGGGAGCUUAUCCUUUUCAAUACGUGUACACCGGCAGCCCGUCGAGUACUAUAGAAAAUCGAAGUUCAGCUGAAGAAUUCCUCUCAAUUCUCAAAGAAUAUGAUGAUUAUGAUUAUACUUGUAUACUACACGUAUGAUAUACGUACCUUUUGAGAAGAAAUCUGUCAGACUUGUUUCUUCUGUUCUCAUCUCCAAUAUUUUUCCAACGCCUGACCAGGUUGCAGUGGGUACAUAUCUGACGACCAACGGCUAGCGCAGGUGGUUUUCCAGGAUCUGAAUGAUCACGUGCACUGCACGUGAAAAACAAUAUAAUUUGCACAGGGGUUUGCGUAAAUAUGGUUGCACUUAAAUUGAACAAGUUUCGGCAAGACCCAUGCCGGGGCCCAAGCAAGCAUUGUAUAAAGCGUUAGAAAUUUUCUCUUUACUCUAAUUUCCUUUAUUGCUUUAUUUUUUAAAAUUAGUCCAGACAAACCCGCUGCUGAGACUCUUUAUCCUCAUUUUCUGUUUCUCCAUUUGGUCCACAGAUCACUAAUGUUCGUAGGCCAUCCUUUCAGAUUUAGCUGCACUUUAAUUAUUAUCCAUAAACUACGGGCAAAUGGGCACCAAAUUAGUAAAUGGGAGAUCGUUUCGGUUCUUCUUCCACACAGCACACAUCCAUCACUAACCUGUCAUCCUUUCUUAGCAAGAAUCUCUCCUAUAUGCAGUCAAUUCUUGAGCACAAGCCAUAUAAAAAUUCUUACUUUUUCUGGUAAAGCGGCCUUUCACAGGUUCUUAUAAAAAGGACAGCGAAGGUCACCAUUAUUAAGAAUUUGUAGAAAAAGUUUACUAUAAGCAACUUUCUUGUGAGAGUUUCCACAGGGGGACAUCACCAAUUCAUGACGGUCUUACAUGAGAGAGAGCUUCUUUGAGGGUAUAUAAUUGAUCCAUCUGUUAUCUUGUAAGGGGUCCUCUUACUUUAACUUUCCAAGAGAGUGUGUUUCUAUAACCACUAUGAAGCAACCGUGUAGUCCUGCCUUACUGCAUUAGCAUAGAGCUCAGUAAAUAAAGAGGAGAGUUUCAAGAGCCCCAACCAGCUAUUCUCCCAAAAGCGAACGUUCGUGUCAUUUCUCAAUUUAAACGACAAACAGUUCCAAAAGGCUUCAAGUUAUUUGCUAAUAUCUUUCCAAAUAGGGGAUAGGCUUUUGAAGCUUUUGCUAAUUUUCAUCCCAAAUUUCUUCCUCCGAUAGUAAGCUCUUUGAAUAAGCUUCCACCAAAGGGAGUCACUGUCCUGCAAAAACUUUCAAACCCAUUUUGCAAGAAAUGCUAGGUUCAUUUACUCAAUAUUUUUUAUCCCCAGCCCUCCUUGUUCCUAGACGUAUGCAUUUGAUCAAUCCUGUUAAUGACCCAUUUUGGCAAUCUAAACACCGACAUAUAGUAAAAAGGAAGAGCUGACAUCACGCUAUUAAUAAGGGUAAGCCUAUCCCCCACCGAGAGAAAUCUUCCUUUCCAAGCAGCCAAUCUUCUAUUGAUCUUCUCUAACAGUGGAAACUAACAUUGUCUUGUAAGUCUCUUGUCAAAUAGUGGCAAGCCCAAGUAAGUAAAAGGUAGGGUACCUUUCUUGCACUUCAUCAAAGCAUCCAUUAUAUUAGUUUCCUCUUCAUGCAUAUUAAGGCUAAUAAUGAAGCUUUUAUGAAAAUUUAUUCUCAACCCUAAAGCUCCUUCAAAGGCUAGGAGAAUGGCUUUCGAUGCAACCAUACUAUCUUUUUUUGCGGCACAGAAGAGCAGAGUAUCGUCAGCAAAUUGAAGGCUUUUAAUAUUGUGAAAGACAUCAAUUUCUCUAAUUCUUUCAAUUUGCUCUAUAGAUCCUCCCUGUUUAAGAAGCCUCGCCAAAACAUCAGUAGCCAAGAUAAACAGGAAAGGAGAUAAGGGAUCACCUUGCCGAAGACCUUUGCAACAUUUGAUCCAAUUUUCUAGUUUACUAUUCAUAAGAAGAGCCACUACGGCUGAAGAUAGUAAGCGAUGAAUCCAAUAGGUGAAGAUCUUCGGAAAACCUCGUACUUGAAGAGCUUCUACUGAAAAAUCUCAGUUCAAACUAUCAAACAUCUUUUCAAAAUCAAGCUUGCAAAGAAUUUCUUUGAGGCCUGAUCUUUUGCAAAGAAUUUUUCCAUUCCAAACUAAACACGGUUUUGGGGCAAACAAAGACUUUAGGCCACCUCCAAAGAAACACGAUCAAAGACGACUCAAACGCUCCGCGUACUUUCGGUCAAGAGUAGCUUUCCAAUUAGACUAGACAGGGUCAGGUGUAUCCCUUGUAGGUCUUCCACGUGCUCUUUGACGAUUUCUUUCUUGGCCUAGUUCUCCUACAUAUAUAUAGCCCAAUAUUGUACGAAAGGCAUGGCCACCAAAUCAAUACGAUUAGCUUUUUUACUUGAAACUCCACCAUGAAACUGCUCCUGGGAUUGUUGUUGGCAUUCUGUGCUCUCAUCUCAACCGGCAGCGCAGUUCGGGUCAUGAACGACAGGAACAAGAGGGUGUCACCCCAUUCUCCUCCCGCUCCAGUCCGCAAUUCCGGACGCCAGUGGGUAAUCGUGACUCCACCUCCGCCUGCUUUGUUCGAGCGUUCGGCCAAGGUAGCUUCUUCGAGCCCUCCACCUCCUCCAUCUUCGUUUUCGCCGAUUUCUUCGGUAUCGCCUCCGGCCAAAGCUCACGUCAACUUGCAGCCACCGCUUCCUCCAUCAAGCAUGCCGUAUCAGCAACCUCCCGGUCCCCGAAAUUUUUUAUCGAUGAAUCUAAGUGCAUGUUGUAUAAAUAGAUUGCUUCGGGUCCUAUAUAUCUACGAUUAAUUCUGGGAUAUAUCUUAUCCUUUUCAAUACAUUUACACCGGCUGCCCGUCGAGUACUAGAAAAUCGAAGAAUUCCUCUCAAUUCUCAAAGAAUAUGAUGAUUAUGAUUAUAGUUGUAUACUACACGUAUGAUAUGCG